RNAcentral lists this ribosomal RNA (770 nucleotides) under Salmonella enterica subsp. enterica serovar Paratyphi B var. L(+) tartrate +. Its description in RNAcentral is "partial 23S ribosomal RNA". It matches the Rfam family "Bacterial large subunit ribosomal RNA", at positions 711 to 1482 of the family's 2925-position model. Lineage: Bacteria; Pseudomonadati; Pseudomonadota; Gammaproteobacteria; Enterobacterales; Enterobacteriaceae. RNAcentral also lists the same sequence under 1 other name. The record is from RNAcentral.
AGACCCGAAACCCGGUGAUCUAGCCAUGGGCAGGUUGAAGGUUGGGUAACACUAACUGGAGGACCGAACCGACUAAUGUUGAAAAAUUAGCGGAUGACCUGUGGCUGGGGGUGAAAGGCCAAUCAAACCGGGAGAUAGCUGGUUCUCCCCGAAAGCUAUUUAGGUAGCGCCUCGUGAAUUCAUCUCCGGGGGUAGAGCACUGUUUCGGCUAGGGGGCCAUCCCGGCUUACCAACCCGAUGCAAACUGCGAAUACCGGAGAAUGUUAUCACGGGAGACACACGGCGGGUGCUAACGUCCGUCGUGAAGAGGGAAACAACCCAGACCGCCAGCUAAGGUCCCAAAGUCAUGGUUAAGUGGGAAACGAUGUGGGAAGGCCCAGACAGCCAGGAUGUUGGCUUAGAAGCAGCCAUCAUUUAAAGAAAGCGUAAUAGCUCACUGGUCGAGUCGGCCUGCGCGGAAGAUGUAACGGGGCUAAACCAUGCACCGAAGCUGCGGCAGCGACGCUUAUGCGUUGUUGGGUAGGGGAGCGUUCUGUAAGCCUGUGAAGGUGGCCUGUGAGGGUUGCUGGAGGUAUCAGAAGUGCGAAUGCUGACAUAAGUAACGAUAAAGCGGGUGAAAAGCCCGCUCGCCGGAAGACCAAGGGUUCCUGUCCAACGUUAAUCGGGGCAGGGUGAGUCGACCCCUAAGGCGAGGCCGAAAGGCGUAGUCGAUGGGAAACGGGUUAAUAUUCCCGUACUUGGUGUUACUGCGAAGGGGGGACGGAGAAGGC